UACGAAGGGGGCUAGCGUUGUUCGGAAUCACUGGGCGUAAAGGGCGCGUAGGCGGCUUGAUAAGUCGGGGGUGAAAGCCUAGUGGCUCAACCACAGAAUUGCCUUCGAUAACUGUCUGGCUUGAGACCGGAAGAGGUAAGUGGAACUGCGAGUGUAGAGGUGAAAUUCGUAGAUAUUCGCAAGAACACCAGUGGCGAAGGCGGCUUACUGGUCCGGUUCUGACGCUGAGGCGCGAAAGCGUGGGGAGCAAACAGG
Molecule: ribosomal RNA, 255 nt
Filed under: uncultured bacterium
Lineage: Bacteria
Description: partial 16S ribosomal RNA
Rfam family: Bacterial small subunit ribosomal RNA
Source: RNAcentral